GAGCUUGCAUGUUGGUGAAAAGAAGAACCCGGGUGAGACUACAGUAAAUCUAGUUAACAGUAAAAUGCAAAGCUGUACCAAGGUCCUAGCAAGCUGUAAAAUGCAGUUAAUCAGAAUGCCAUUUUUUUUUGUUCAAAUAAUUUUAAUUAUUGGAAUGCACAAUUUUUAAAUAUGCAAAUAAAAAGUUUUAAAACCUGAAAAAAAAA
Long non-coding RNA from Monodelphis domestica (gray short-tailed opossum), 206 nucleotides. RefSeq lists it as uncharacterized. The record is from RefSeq and is a predicted model, not a curated record. NCBI's taxonomy places the organism in Eukaryota, Metazoa, Chordata, Mammalia, Didelphimorphia, Didelphidae.